Eleginops maclovinus (Patagonian blennie) is the source of this 413-nucleotide long non-coding RNA. RefSeq lists it as uncharacterized. The record is from RefSeq and is a predicted model, not a curated record. The transcript is spliced from 3 exons. NCBI's taxonomy places the organism in Eukaryota, Metazoa, Chordata, Actinopteri, Perciformes, Eleginopidae.
AAGCAGAGAGGUCGUGAAUCCGGGAUCGUCCGGUAAAACCCUUCAGACCUACAUCUAGGAAGGACAGAAAUAAAUAAAUGAACCAGCAGCCUUUGAGUGAUUUAAUCUCGGUGCCGGUUACCGGAGCCCGGAGUGUGAGCCUCAUCAGAUCCGGUCCUGUGAGGAGGAGCGAGCCUUCAACCUGCUCCACUAUCUGGAUCUGGAUCCCUCUGAGGGGAGGGAGGUGAAGGGGUCCUGAAAGUAACUCUGAGUAUCAAAAUUCAAGAACCCCUGUGUUACCUGAGGACGGCCCCAUCACUUUGUCAGCGCUCUGAAGCUUUAAAGCUCAAGGCCACAUCCGUCUGGCUGUGAGGAAACUCCAGACAGAUUGCAGCACUGAGAGGAGACUGAGGAGAGGAAGCCGUCCACUCUGG